RNAcentral lists this ribosomal RNA (1554 nucleotides) under Escherichia coli. RNAcentral describes it as "bacterial SSU rRNA". It matches the Rfam family "Bacterial small subunit ribosomal RNA". Lineage: Bacteria; Pseudomonadati; Pseudomonadota; Gammaproteobacteria; Enterobacterales; Enterobacteriaceae. The record is from RNAcentral.
AAAUUGAAGAGUUUGAUCAUGGCUCAGAUUGAACGCUGGCGGCAGGCCUAACACAUGCAAGUCGAACGGUAACAGGAAGCAGCUUGCUGCUUUGCUGACGAGUGGCGGACGGGUGAGUAAUGUCUGGGAAACUGCCUGAUGGAGGGGGAUAACUACUGGAAACGGUAGCUAAUACCGCAUAACGUCGCAAGACCAAAGAGGGGGACCUUCUGGCCUCUUGCCAUCGGAUGUGCCCAGAUGGGAUUAGCUAGUAGGUGGGGUAACGGCUCACCUAGGCGACGAUCCCUAGCUGGUCUGAGAGGAUGACCAGCCACACUGGAACUGAGACACGGUCCAGACUCCUACGGGAGGCAGCAGUGGGGAAUAUUGCACAAUGGGCGCAAGCCUGAUGCAGCCAUGCCGCGUGUAUGAAGAAGGCCUUCGGGUUGUAAAGUACUUUCAGCGGGGAGGAAGGGAGUAAAGUUAAUACCUUUGCUCAUUGACGUUACCCGCAGAAGAAGCACCGGCUAACUCCGUGCCAGCAGCCGCGGUAAUACGGAGGGUGCAAGCGUUAAUCGGAAUUACUGGGCGUAAAGCGCACGCAGGCGGUUUGUUAAGUCAGAUGUGAAAUCCCCGGGCUCAACCUGGGAACUGCAUCUGAUACUGGCAAGCUUGAGUCUCGUAGAGGGGGGUAGAAUUCCAGGUGUAGCGGUGAAAUGCGUAGAGAUCUGGAGGAAUACCGGUGGCGAAGGCGGCCCCCUGGACGAAGACUGACGCUCAGGUGCGAAAGCGUGGGGAGCAAACAGGAUUAGAUACCCUGGUAGUCCACGCCGUAAACGAUGUCGACUUGGAGGUUGUGCCCUUGAGGCGUGGCUUCCGGAGCUAACGCGUUAAGUCGACCGCCUGGGGAGUACGGCCGCAAGGUUAAAACUCAAAUGAAUUGACGGGGGCCCGCACAAGCGGUGGAGCAUGUGGUUUAAUUCGAUGCAACGCGAAGAACCUUACCUGGUCUUGACAUCCACAGAACUUUCCAGAGAUGGAUUGGUGCCUUCGGGAACUGUGAGACAGGUGCUGCAUGGCUGUCGUCAGCUCGUGUUGUGAAAUGUUGGGUUAAGUCCCGCAACGAGCGCAACCCUUAUCCUUUGUUGCCAGCGGUCCGGCCGGGAACUCAAAGGAGACUGCCAGUGAUAAACUGGAGGAAGGUGGGGAUGACGUCAAGUCAUCAUGGCCCUUACGACCAGGGCUACACACGUGCUACAAUGGCGCAUACAAAGAGAAGCGACCUCGCGAGAGCAAGCGGACCUCAUAAAGUGCGUCGUAGUCCGGAUUGGAGUCUGCAACUCGACUCCAUGAAGUCGGAAUCGCUAGUAAUCGUGGAUCAGAAUGCCACGGUGAAUACGUUCCCGGGCCUUGUACACACCGCCCGUCACACCAUGGGAGUGGGUUGCAAAAGAAGUAGGUAGCUUAACCUUCGGGAGGGCGCUUACCACUUUGUGAUUCAUGACUGGGGUGAAGUCGUAACAAGGUAACCGUAGGGGAACCUGCGGUUGGAUCACCUCCUUACCUUAAAGAAGC